GGGAAAUCUCUUAAUGUGACUCCAUAUAAUUUUUACAAUUAGUGUAUUUAGUACUUAAAUUAUAUCCAAUUCUUCUUUAGCUAGUGCCUUUGAAAAUUGCCAAUGAUCCUUUUCUUUAAGCCAAAUUCAUAAUUUCAAAGACACUGUAAUUAACAGUAAUAAGUGAGAAUACAGCGAUAAAUUUCAGUUUUAGCUUUCAAUCAAAUUAAUCCACAUGUGAAAUUUACAUAUGAAAUCAAAAGGUUAUGAUAGUGUUGAUUUAAACCAGAAACAAAUUGUAUUUCUAUUCCAGCUUAAUUUGAACCUGCACAAUUAUUUUUUCUUUCUUUCUUCAGGUAUGGAAUGGGCACAUGCCUUUGUUGUACAAGAGGCACAGGCCUAGAGAAGAAUAAAU
RNAcentral lists this long non-coding RNA (394 nucleotides) under Bos taurus (domestic cattle). RNAcentral's name for it is "long non-coding RNA NONBTAT013451". Lineage: Eukaryota; Metazoa; Chordata; Mammalia; Artiodactyla; Bovidae. The record is from RNAcentral.